RNAcentral lists this ribosomal RNA (440 nucleotides) under uncultured bacterium. Its description in RNAcentral is "partial 16S ribosomal RNA". It matches the Rfam family "Bacterial small subunit ribosomal RNA", at positions 338 to 795 of the family's 1533-position model. The record is from RNAcentral.
CCUACGGGAGGCAGCAGUAGGGAAUAUUGCUCAAUGGGGGAACCCCUGAUGCAGCAACGCCGCGUGGAGGAUGAAGGUUUUCGGUUUGUAAACUUCUAUCGUCAGAGAAGAUAAUGACGGUUUCCUACGAAAAAGCACCGGCUAACUUCGUGCCAGCAGCCGCGGUAAUACGGAGGGUGCAAGCGUUACUCGGAAUUACCGGGCGUAAAGAGCGCGUAGGCGGGAUGGCAAGUCAGAAGUGAAAUCCUAUGGCUUAACCAUCGAACUGCAUUUGAAACUGUUAUUCUAGAGUAUGGGAGAGGUAAGUGGAAUUCUUGGUGUAGGGGUAAAAUCCGUAGAGAUCAGGAGGAAUACUCGUGGCGAAGGCGACCUACUGGAACGUAACUGACGCUGAUGCGCGAAAGCGUGGGGAGCAAACAGGAUUAGAUACCCUUGUAGUC